AUUGAACGCUGGCGGCAGGCCUAACACAUGCAAGUCGAACGAGUGGCGGACGGGUGAGUAAUGUCUGGGAAACUGACUGAUGGAGGGGGAUAACUACUGGAAAAGGUAGCUAAUACCGCAUACCAUCGGAUGUGCCAAGAUGGGAUUAGCUAGUAGGUGGGGUAAAGGCUCACCUAGGCGAAGAUCCAUAGCUGGUCAGCGAGGAUGACCAGCCAAACUGGAACUGAGACACGGUCCAGACUGCUACGGGAGUCAGCAGGGGGGAAUAUGGCACAAUGGGCGCAAGCCGGAUGCAGCCAGGCCGCGUGUAUGAAGAAGGCUUUCGGGUUGUAAAGUACUUUCAGCGGGGAGGCGUGACCCGCAGAAGAAGCACCGGCUAACUCCGUGCCAGCAGCCGCGGUAAUUC
RNAcentral lists this ribosomal RNA (406 nucleotides) under uncultured bacterium. RNAcentral's name for it is "partial 16S ribosomal RNA". It matches the Rfam family "Bacterial small subunit ribosomal RNA", at positions 29 to 526 of the family's 1533-position model. The record is from RNAcentral.